RNAcentral lists this non-coding RNA (22 nucleotides) under Arabidopsis thaliana (thale cress). Lineage: Eukaryota; Viridiplantae; Streptophyta; Magnoliopsida; Brassicales; Brassicaceae. The record is from RNAcentral.
GCCGUCGCGUGUCAGCCCUAGA